UCAUUUGCAUAAAUUUUCAUAUAUUUUGGUGAAAAUAAUAGACUAGUGGAGAGCGGGGCUUAGUGGAGUCAGUGCAAAGGAAAAUCUUAACAUGGAUCGUUUCGCUGGAGUUGAGAACAUGCUUUUUCCCCCCUGUCACCUUAUUAAAAUCAAAAAUUAAAAAAAUUCUCUAAAUCCUGGAAGUUUGAUCGGCUUCUGCCCCUGGUUUUAAUCCAAAGGAACUGCUUUUGGAGCUGGUGUGUCCGGCUUUGGUGUUUGCCGGCUGAGGAAGAGGCUCACUCUUUUCUUCAGUCUUGGUAUGUGGAUUUCUCUCUCUUCAAGUAAUUUCUUAGCAUACCCUUGAAUGGCAUCUACCACACAUAACUUUUUCAGCCCACAAGGCUGAAACAACUUCCCUUAACUGAAAUGACCCCAGCACAGCUAUUCUCUAGAAGACACCCUCCUUGAUUUCUUGGGAGGCCCAUAAGAUGACUGAGGUUUUAGAGCAGCAAAGACUUGGAACAGACAUCACUCCUGUUGGAAACUUCUGUUGACUGCAGUGUGAGUUGGAGGGGACCCAGAGAAACCAAAUACAGACAAGUGACGAUGAGUUGGCCACACAAGCAAGGAAAAUCACAGAUAACAGAUCUGGUGUAGAGCUGAGCACCCUUAAUGUCUUGUCACCAAAAGCCUUUCCUGACGUGUCCAGGGGAAAGCUGCAAGCAUUCUGAACAGGCCACAGGAAUGUUUCAGCUACCUUCAGCCUCAUCCGAUGAUGGUUAAUGAUCUCGCCUAGCUCGAUCUUCUGUGCACCAGCAGGGACUUCUUUAAAUUGGUCAACUGUAUAGAGCAUUGUUUUCAAGUUUAAUGUGCUUGGAAUUAACCUUAUAAAAUAAUGGCCUAACUAAAGACAGAUUAUAUGCAUAGCACAGACAUGUAUGUGUGCAUUUAGAUGUGCAUAUGUGUAUACAUGUGUUUAUAUAUGUAAGUGUACACAUAUGUAUGGAAAUGCUGAUGCUAUUCACCUUUUUGAAAUCUUUACAGCUAGUAUUAACACGAAUGUGCUGUUAAAUUGGCAGUGUUAUACAUUUUUGUUGGAACUUACUUCUGUAACAUAAAAUCAUAAAGAUAAGCUGUGAAACUCGUGCAGCUGAUGACAUAAUUCUAGAAUCUCGUGAUGCUGAAUCUCAUAUUUCUAGGAGUGUGGGAUGGAUGCUCCUCGCUGAAAUAAUUAUACUGCCUAUUGCAAUACAUGUUUCAUUGUUUUUAUGUGGGCACUGAGAUAUCCAAAUUAUUAAACAUAUAUGGUACAAUGAGUCCUGUGUUCCUUAUAUAUUCUAAAGAAGGCAAUUAAUUUCUAUGGUUUUAUUGUAUAAUAAAGCAAACUACUCUAAGAAUCUCUUAUGAACAUAGCAAUAAUCUGUGACAAUAUGCAUAUUUACUUUUAAUAAUGAUGUCCAAAUAUACAUAUGUGCAUAUAAAUAUGCAUGUAUGUAUAUACAAACACUCACAGAGAGACAUAUACACAAAUCAAAUGGAACCAAUUAGAAUGUGGCAUAAGUAGAUUCAGAGCUUACCUGUUAUGGCUGUGUGAAGGCAUAAUUUGAGCUACAAGGACGUGCAAGAAAGCAUAGCUCAAUAUACUCCAUUGGCUCAUUCUCAUGAUGCUCAGGCUGUGUGCUGACGGGGUACCAGCAGACAUUCAUAAUGACAGCUGGUUCAAAACAGAGCUUUCAAAGUAGUGCAACACCCCUAACUUCCUUCCAAAUCCUGGUGUUUGCCAGCACUUAGCUGAGGCUGGUUCUUAAGGUCAGAUGUUCAGAUAUAAGUUAUUCAGAAAGAAUCUAGUUCUUUAUGUUUGAACUCUAUAUAUGUUCAACAUAUAGGCUUUAUUCUUUUGCCCAUGAAUUUGCAUUUGAGCUCAUGCAUAGAUUAUGCUUGUCUACUACCCAAAAAAUGAAGAAUGUUUCUCCCUGAUACUAUACACUAUUUGCCUGGGAUGUCCUCUCUCAAUUUCUUCACUCUCUUGUGGGCUGCAUAAACUGAGAUUCUGAUGGCAGUUCUUUCUUUUUACUGGGUCCGAAAAAUCCUUCAGCUGCUACGUUGAGAAAGGAAGGAAAAGCAGCUUUACUUUAACAUAACCCUUAUUACACCACCUAUGCUCAACCAACCAGGAACAUAACAAAAAAAGCCCAACUAAGCUUCAGUUGUUGUGUGUGACUUUUCCUUUUUGUGUGGAUGGGAAUAGAAUCUGGAAAUACCCAUGCUCCUUCUUGGGAGAGAAAAGCAAACAGGUUUUAUCUAUUUGCAAUUGAACUCAGAGAAAAAUAGCCAGGCAUGGAAAGCACACUUGAAGGUAAGACAUGAAUAUAAGUAAAGAUAAAUUUCACUAUGCUAAAUUCAAGGAAAAUGUGUCACAUUAUUCUAAUUAUUACAGAGAACAUGUGCUAAUUAAUUGUUACACUGUGCUGGUGCAAGAGUUGAGUGUUCUACAUGAAACAAAUGGAGGAGCUGACCCUGGGAUGCUGUUGACUCUUGUUUAGAAGCUGGCAUGUGAGGGGCAUGCCAUGAAUGGCCUUGUGAAAAUGAGACUGGUGAGCUGAUUUGGUCUAAGAAAUUACUUUUCAGAAGGGUUAGAAAAAUAUUUUAAAUCUAUGCUAAAUUUUAGUCAUGCUGGAUGACUGGACUGCUGAGUGUGUGCAGUAUACUCAAAAGCAGUUUUUUGUUUACCAUGACACCUGGGGAACCCAAGCACUAAGUGACAUUCCUUCAGAGGAAUUCAGACAACACUGCUAUUUGGGCAUCUUCAGUGCUGCCAGGACACUUCUCUGUAGAUGAAAUCAAGGAGACCUGAGCAUCAGGGGAUUCAGAAAAGCACUGACCAUGUGCCCAUCACUCUCUUUUGGAUCUGCUCAUUUCUGGGAUAUUGACCCUGCUUUAGUUGGAGGUGCAUCUGGGGAGAUGUUGAGGGGAGCAGGGUAGGUCUGUCCUCAUUUCUGGAGGUCUGUGCAGGGUUGUUUCCCUGCAGCAGGCUUGCUUGGCUUACAGACACCCAUCCUUCUAGCUCCAGCCUGGUAUGUGUGAGCAGUGUUGGCCGUGCUCACAGGCUGGCGAUGCUCCUGUUUGCCAUCAGCCUUCCCUCCUGGAUCAGGGCCGCUACCGAUUGCUGAGGGGUGGCCAGGAGCAGCUCCCUCUGGUGAAACUCUUUUGUGCUUUUAUCUCCCUCUUCUUGGCAGUGAGCUGCCACUGGCUCCCAGCCAUGGCUCUCUCGCCCUCCCCAGUGCCCAGCUUGCAUGCUCAGCCAGUGCCUACAUCUCUUCCAGCAGCUGGCCCUACUCUUCCUCCACAGCUGGCUGCUGCCCCCUACUGUGGUAAUUAUUAUUUAUUAUGGAUAUUCAGUGUACAUUAUGUCCACUGGAGUCCAAUACAGUCUGAAUCACUACCAGGGCCACACUGUGUGGGCGGAAGCACACAGUCAUACAGAGAUGCUUCACGUUGGUAUUCACUUGACUCUCACACAGGGAAAGACUGAGGGGAAAGGGGUGAAGGUGGCUGUUGGCACCUAUUAGCACUAUCUGAUGUGACACCUACUCUCUGUGCCGUGUUACAUGACUCCAGCAACAGCACAGCUGAGCACAGAGCUCCUUUUUCUCCACCUUGCUACCAGUAGCAGGUCUCCUGCUAUUACUUUUACCUAGCUGGAAAUACCUGAGGUGUUUUCCAAAAGUCAUGGUUGCUACAUAAUCACAGUUUAACUCCCUGUUGCUGUGAAUGCAGGUAUUGCUUGGCACAGCAUGGCUAUGUGGGAUACCAUUUUCUUUCCUAUUUCUCUCCAUCACCUUCCUCUCUGAGUUUCAUGCCAGUUCCUUUGUUCAUGUGUCCCUCUCUUUACACUUCAACAUUCCUUCACACCCUGCCUCCCUGAAGACAUCACCUUCAGCUAAAAACAGAGGGCUGUAACUCUCACUACUUAGAGCACAGGCAAAAGCACCUGGAGGGAGAAGCAGCUUUUUGUACAUUUGGAAAAAUACAGAGUCCUGGACAUAGUCCACACAUAUAUGUGCACGUGUGAGAGGCAGCUGUGGUGAAUAGCGUUAGCCUUGUUCAAGGAGGUGGAGCAAUACUGCUCCAUGGCAGCUGAGGAUCUGUCCCAGUAUGUAAAUGUAAAUAUCUAUUUUUACAAACCCUCCUACAGUUUGCUUUAAAAAAAAGCUUUCUCUUUAGACACUGGAAACAUACAAGCCUGUCAGAAGUGUCCCACUUUCUAUAUUUUCUCUAAUUCCUACCUGUGACUUCCUUUGAAAGCUUUCGAAAUCUAAUGAAUUCAAGAGACAAAGUGAAUUAAAACUGAAGAUGCUUUGCCUUCAGUACACUUGGCCUAGUCUAUAGGAAC
Oenanthe melanoleuca is the source of this 4372-nucleotide long non-coding RNA. RefSeq lists it as uncharacterized. The transcript has 7 exons. The record is from RefSeq and is a predicted model, not a curated record. Lineage: Eukaryota; Metazoa; Chordata; Aves; Passeriformes; Muscicapidae.